RNAcentral lists this ribosomal RNA (495 nucleotides) under uncultured bacterium. RNAcentral describes it as "bacterial SSU rRNA". It matches the Rfam family "Bacterial small subunit ribosomal RNA", at positions 32 to 518 of the family's 1533-position model. The record is from RNAcentral.
AACGCUAGCGACAGGCCUAACACAUGCAAGGUCGAGGGGCAGCACAAGGAGCAAUCUGAGGUGGCGACGGCGCACGGGUGAAGUAACACGUAUGCAACCUGCCUGGUAAGACCGGGGAAUAACCCGUUGAAAGACGGACUAAUACCGCAUAAUACUAAAUUACUGCAUAUAAUUUAUUUAAACAUUUUAUGGCUUACAGAUGGGCAUGCGCAUGAUUAGCUAGUUGGAGAGGUAACGGCUCCCCAAGGCAACGAUCAUUAGGGGUUCUGAGAGGAAGGUCCCCCACACUGGUACUGAGACACGGACCAGACUCCUACGGGAGGCAGCAGUGAGGAAUAUUGGUCAAUGGACGAGAGUCUGAACCAGCCAAGUCGCGUGCAGGAAGAAUGUCCUAUGGAUUGUAAACUGCUUUUGCAGGGGAAUAAAGUGCAUCACGUGUGAUGUUUUGUAUGUACUCUGCGAAUAAGGAUCGGCUAACUCCGUGCCAGCAGCGGC